GUGGAGUCUCGCGAGAUUGCCCACGGAGUUACCAUAGCGACCGCCGAGCGCGGGUCUGAGGCGGCUACUGAGUGGCCUUUUCGACUUCUCCCAGCAGUGUGAAGGAGCAGAAGUCCCAGCGCGGCCCGGUGAGCCCUGGGCUCUGACACGUGUCGCCGGGCGCUCCGUGAGGCUGUGUGCUCUCAGGUAAGCAGCCCGCUGCCCCGUGUGGAGGCCGCAGGGGUCCACACACGUCCAUGUGUGUAGGCUCCUGUGUGUUCCAGAUCCCGUGCGCUGGGCGUCGUGCUCGGAGCUUCGCGGGCAUUAGGUUGUGCCAUCCUCCAGGCGCCUGUAAGGGGUCUACGAUCGUUCUCUCCCUUCCACCAGGAGGAGACGGGCCCUGGGGGGUUAGGGGCCGUGCCUGUGGUCACAUUAUUUGUUUGUGGCAGAGUGAGACCUGAACCUAGCGUUGUCUGAUUCCAGAGACCCUGUGCUAAAAACACGUACGGAAAUCCUCCGGCCCACCUGUCCGUCCGUGCAGGUUUUGAUUAUGCUAAAAGCCACAGAAGCACGGAUCCUCCCCGAGACUGCUUCCCCCCACUUUCUCUGCAUUUUAUUUCUUCAGCAAGCCUGUUACCCCUAGUUCUCAGACUUCUUAAUGCCUCCGAUGUCUUUCCCUUUGGAUUAUGAUUUCUUACAUCUUUUCUAGAAUACAAAAUUGUGUCUUCCUUUCUUAUUUUUAAGAUUAUAUUUGUAAGUAAUCUCUACACCGACCAUGGGGCUUGAACUCACGGCCCCAAUAUCAGGAGUCACACGCUCCACGGACUGAGCCAGCCAGGGGCCCCUUGUCUUCCUUUCUUACAACUGCUGCUUGAGGAGGCAUACCAGAGGCUCCUGCGGCUGCAGAGCCUUAGAUUUGUAGCGUCCGUACUUCAGGUCACGAGGAUGUCGUUAUGAUGAUUUUGUAUUCGAGGUCUUCCACUUUCCAUAUGAAAAUUAAAGUACUGGCUUCUACAGGACAAGCCACGGA
Long non-coding RNA from Suricata suricatta (meerkat), 1009 nucleotides. RefSeq lists it as uncharacterized. The transcript is spliced from 3 exons. Lineage: Eukaryota; Metazoa; Chordata; Mammalia; Carnivora; Herpestidae. The record is from RefSeq and is a predicted model, not a curated record.